AGCAGACGGAACUGAGGGGACAGAAACUAUCUUUCCUGAUGAUGGGGCCCUGCUUUCACUGAAGUCGGGCAUCGUGCAUGGAGACCCCCAGGAAGUAGAAGCAUGUCUGGCUACUUGUAUCAUCUUGGGCAAACUACCUGUGUAGGACUUACUCAUUUCAGAAAUGUGGGUAAUUGUGCCUGCAUGACAGAGCUGUUUGAUCAGAAACGGAAGUACCAUAAUCAUUAGCGCGUAGGCUCUGGAUGCGGACCAUGUGGUUUAGAGCCAUGACUCCACUAUUUCCCCGCUGUGUGACCUUGUUGGGAUUUUGGUUUCUAGUAACACGAACUCAAGAGGAAGGAUCUGCCAGGAGAUGAGAGUAUGCAGAGUACACAGGUAAAAUUAUGAAGGAGAUAAAUUAAGACUAUAAGUUGAUAAUUUGUGACCAAGCCUGUAUCCUUAGCAUACAAUUUCCUAGUCUUACAGGUUGAAUAAUAGAUUUAAUAUUGAUAAAUUUGCAUACAUUUAAACAUGCUAAAUUUAUUUUUAAGUCCCUGAACACUGUUAUGAUUGUGGUUUAUAUUUAAUAUCACAAGAAUCAUGCAGGAACUUUAAAGUGAGAAUAAUUACUUCUGACUUGUUUAAAAGUUGUAUUUCUCAGAAUCAUACUGAUAAUUCAAUAAAAAAAAUCACUAAAGCAGAAGAAAAUCUGACUUGUUAUAUA
This is a long non-coding RNA of Manis javanica (Malayan pangolin), 703 nucleotides long. RefSeq lists it as uncharacterized. The record is from RefSeq and is a predicted model, not a curated record. NCBI's taxonomy places the organism in Eukaryota, Metazoa, Chordata, Mammalia, Pholidota, Manidae.